RNAcentral lists this ribosomal RNA (672 nucleotides) under uncultured bacterium. RNAcentral describes it as "bacterial SSU rRNA". It matches the Rfam family "Bacterial small subunit ribosomal RNA", at positions 62 to 770 of the family's 1533-position model. The record is from RNAcentral.
UCGAACGAGCUUAGAGAGCUUGCUUUUUAAGCUUAGUGGCGAACGGGUGAGUAACGCGUGAGUACCUGCCCUAGAGUGGGGGACAACAGUUGGAAACGACUGCUAAUACCGCAUAAGGCCGCAUGACAAAAGAUUUAUCGCUUUAGGAUGGACUCGCGUCCAAUUAGCUAGUUGGUGAGGUAACGGCCCACCAAGGCACGAUUGGUAGCCGGACUGAGAGGUUGAACGGCCACAUUGGGACUGAGACACGGCCCAGACUCCUACGGGAGGCAGCAGUGGGGGAUAUUGCACAAUGGGGGAAACCCUGAUGCAGCGACGCCGCGUGGAGGAAGAAGGUUUUCGGAUUGUAAACUCCUGUCGUUAGGGACGAUAAGACGGUACCUAACAAGAAAGCACCGGCUAACUACGUGCCAGCAGCCGCGGUAAAACGUAGGGUGCAAGCGUUGUCCGGAAUUACUGGGUGUAAAGGGAGCGCAGGCGGGAAGCAAGUUGGAAGUGAAAACCAUGGGCUCAACCCAUGAAUUGCUUUCAAAACUGUUUUUCUUGAGUAGUGCAGAGGUAGAUGGAAUUCCCGGUGUAGCGGUGGAAUGCGUAGAUAUCGGGAGGAACACCAGUGGCGAAGGCGGUCUACUGGGCACCAACUGACGCUGAGGCUCGAAAGCAUGGGUAGCA